Long non-coding RNA from Mugil cephalus (flathead mullet), 938 nucleotides. RefSeq lists it as uncharacterized. NCBI's taxonomy places the organism in Eukaryota, Metazoa, Chordata, Actinopteri, Mugiliformes, Mugilidae. The transcript has 2 exons. The record is from RefSeq and is a predicted model, not a curated record.
UUAUUGAUCUUGUGGAGAGUCCAGACUGUAGACUGAAGACUGUGACUCUGAGGUGCAAGUCAAAGUGAACAGGACGGUAUGUGAGCUGAGAGAGGAUGAGCUGAGUCCUGAUGAUCCAGAAGUUGAAUCAGCAGCAGCUUGUGUGUAGAGAGACUCUGACUGGACCAUGUUACUGGGAGGUGGAGUCAAGAGGAGAGCUUCAUCCACGUGUCUGUUACCAUUGUUAGGAAAUAACAGUAUAAGUGUGUUGUUACAUUUACUCUUUAACACUACAGCAAAAAUAGUUCUUCUACAUGGAAAGCUUUAGUUCAGCUUUUUUUUAAUUAAUUUAUUUAUUUACUUAUUUUAUUUUUAUUUGUGUCAAGAAUUGAAAGAUUGAAAACACUACAAAAAAUGUAAAGUAAAAGUGGGAAACAUUCUCAUGAUAUUACUGUAAUGAUUAAUACUUUCCUGUGGUCAUUAGUGUAAUAAUUUAAUUUAUCUGCUUAUAAUAUAAAACAUGUUCCUUAUGAAAAGAUCUAGUUGUAAACAGUGAUUAUAGAUGUCAGAAUACAUGUAGUGUAGUGGACGUAUAAUGUUUAGAAAGUUGAAGGAGAAGGACACUGAAUUGAAAUGAGAAUAGUACAUAAAGACCGGCAUUAUUUUCAGCUAUGUUGUCUGUGUGUAUUUUGUUGUUUUUCCAGUUGUAUGUAUUUUAUACAAAAAAAGUUGUUGAGAAAAUGUUGUGAUGCAAUGUGAUUUAAUUGCAAAUAUAAAAACAAUCACUUACUGCCAAAUUAAUAACCCUGAUGCUGAAUAUAAUCAAUUAAUGUAAAUUAAUUUAAAUUUGGCAAGUUGGUUUGAUUUAAGUAAGUAAAUUAGUAAAACAUUGUACCACUUGAAUAGAUGGAUUAUAUGUGGUUUAUAAGAAAAUAAAGGAAUAUGAGUUAAAAUGAGAA